This 448-nucleotide ribosomal RNA is filed under the name uncultured bacterium. RNAcentral's name for it is "bacterial SSU rRNA". It matches the Rfam family "Bacterial small subunit ribosomal RNA", at positions 329 to 793 of the family's 1533-position model. The record is from RNAcentral.
UGCCAGACUCCUACGGGAGGCAGCAGUGGGGAAUAUUGCACAAUGGGGGAAACCCUGAUGCAGCGACGCCGCGUGAGUGAAGAAGUAUUUCGGUAUGUAAAGCUCUAUCAGCAGGGAAGAAGAAGGACGGUACCUGAGUAAGAAGCCCCGGCUAACUACGUGCCAGCAGCCGCGGUAAUACGUAGGGGGCAAGCGUUAUCCGGAUUCACUGGGUGUAAAGGGAGCGUAGACGGCGACGCAAGUCUGGAGUGAAAGCCCGGGGCCCAACCCCGGGACUGCUCUGGAAACUGCGUCGCUGGAGUACGGGAGGGGCAGGCGGAAUUCCUGGUGUAGCGGUGAAAUGCGUAGAUAUCAGGAGGAACACCGGCGGCGAAGGCGGCCUGCUGGACCGUGACUGACGUUGAGGCUCGAGAGCGUGGGGAGCAAACAGGAUUAGAUACCCCAGUAA